RNAcentral lists this long non-coding RNA (290 nucleotides) under Gossypium barbadense (sea-island cotton). Its description in RNAcentral is "long non-coding RNA (GBAR_LNC021575)". The record is from RNAcentral. Lineage: Eukaryota; Viridiplantae; Streptophyta; Magnoliopsida; Malvales; Malvaceae.
AGCAGCUGAGAAGGGGGUUGAAAAGCAGAGAGAAAAAAUAGCAGAGGGACGUGGCACUCGAGCAAGGAAAAAAUCUCUAAUUGGCCCAGCAAAAGCCGAUCAAACAGUUGGAGUAGCAGCCAAAAAAAUUCCAGCUAAUCCAGAGGAGGGAAACUCGACGAUUUGAAGAAUUUUCCUUUCCAAAGAUUCAGUUUGUAAUUCAUGUUGUUACAAUUGAUUUUUGUUUUGUUUUACUUGCUAUGAGUGGCUAUAUUACUUAAGCUUAGUUAGACACUUAUGAAACCUCGCAC